GUAGACCUCAAGCGUUAUCCGGAUUUAUUGGGCGUAAAGGGUGUGUAGGAGGUUUUGUAAGUCAGAUGUUAAAUUUCGGGGCCUAACUUCGAAACCGCAUUUGAUACUGCAAGACUAGAGGGUGCAAGAGGUAUGCGGAACGCACGGUGUAGGGGUGACAUCCGUUGAUAUCGUGCGGAACACCAAAGGCGAAGGCAGCAUACUGGGGCACUCCUGACUCUGAAACACGAAAGCGUGGGGAGCAAAAAGGAUUAGAUACCCUUGUAGUCCACGCCCUAAACGAUGCCUGCUAGCUGUUUCGAAUAUCGACCCUCGGAGUGGCGAAGCUAACGCGUUAAGCAGGCCGCCUGGGAAGUACGGUCGCAAGACUA
Molecule: ribosomal RNA, 371 nt
Filed under: uncultured bacterium
Lineage: Bacteria
Description: bacterial SSU rRNA
Rfam family: Bacterial small subunit ribosomal RNA
Source: RNAcentral